Molecule: ribosomal RNA, 490 nt
Filed under: uncultured bacterium
Lineage: Bacteria
Description: partial 16S ribosomal RNA
Rfam family: Bacterial small subunit ribosomal RNA
Source: RNAcentral
AUUGAACGCUGGCGGCAGGCCUAACACAUGCAAGUCGAACGGUAACAGGAUGCGGCUUGCUGCUUUGCUGACGAGUGGCGGGCGGGUGAGUAGUGUCUGGGAAACUGCCUGAUGUCGGGGGAUAACUACUGGAAACGGUAACUAAUACAGCAUAACGUCGCAAGAGCAAAGAGGGGGAGCUUCUGGCCUCUUGCCAUCGGAUGUGCCCAGAUGGGAUUAGCUAGUAGGUGGGGUAACGGCCCACCAAGGCGACGAUCCGUAGCUGGUCUGAGAGGAUGACCAGCCACACUGGAACUGAGACACGGUCCAGACUCCUACGGGAGGCAGCAGUGGGGAAUAUUGCACAAUGGGCGCAAGCCUGAUGCAGCCAUGCCGCGUGUAUGAAGAAGGCCUUCGGGUUGUAAAGUACUUUCAGCGGGGAGGAAGGGAGUAAAGUUAAUACCUUUGCGCAUUGACGGUACCCGAAGAAGAAGCACCGGCUAACUCCGUG